Long non-coding RNA from Stylophora pistillata, 241 nucleotides. RefSeq lists it as uncharacterized. NCBI's taxonomy places the organism in Eukaryota, Metazoa, Cnidaria, Anthozoa, Scleractinia, Pocilloporidae. The record is from RefSeq and is a predicted model, not a curated record.
GGCCAGAGUGCUUAACUUGUCUACUGACCUUGCUUUGGACGAAAGUUCUCAAUUGCUUUGUCUAAUGCUGUCAGAGUGAAGAAUACAUGACAGAGAACGACGAAGAGUUCGAUGGGGAAGACCUAGAGGUAAUUUUCAGAAGGUCUCGAUGAAUAUCCAACUCGAAAAUGUAUGGAGAGAUCUUAGGACAACUCAUGCUGAGACAGCUUGUUCCACUUCUAAAAUAAAACGGGGAGAAAAA